RNAcentral lists this ribosomal RNA (274 nucleotides) under uncultured bacterium. RNAcentral describes it as "partial 16S ribosomal RNA". It matches the Rfam family "Bacterial small subunit ribosomal RNA", at positions 523 to 796 of the family's 1533-position model. The record is from RNAcentral.
CUACGGAGGGUGCGAGCGUUAAUCGGAAUUACUGGGCGUAAAGCGCGCGUAGGCGGUUUAGUAAGUCGGAUGUGAAAGCCCUGGGCUCAACCUGGGAAUUGCAUUCGAUACUGCUUGACUAGAGUAUGGUAGAGGGAAGUGGAAUUUCCGGUGUAGCGGUGAAAUGCGUAGAUAUCGGAAGGAACACCAGUGGCGAAGGCGACUUCCUGGGCCAAUACUGACGCUGAGGUGCAAAAGCGUGGGGAGCAAACAGGAUUAGAUACCCCUGUAGUCC